Molecule: long non-coding RNA, 479 nt
Organism: Maniola jurtina (meadow brown)
Lineage: Eukaryota; Metazoa; Arthropoda; Insecta; Lepidoptera; Nymphalidae
Exons: 2
Source: RefSeq, a predicted model, not a curated record
UCUAGAUUCAUUUCAUAAGCUUUUCAUAAGACUUUUUUUUGAUAUUAUGAAUCUGUUCGUUUUAUAUUUUCAUCAGGAAUUUUAUGUUAAAGUUUUACACAAUUUUCCAAUCUUUACUUACGCGUGAAAUGGAUAGAUGCCGUUGUGCAGAGUACGCAGCUGCCGUGGAGAAACUGCGGUGUUAUACUGUUGGCACAUUCCGACCUGAUAUUAUAGAUAACUAUGACCGAUCGGAAUUCAUAACAACAUGGGUGAAACACGGCGUUGACUAUGAAGAUAUGAAGUUUUUAAAACCUAGGGCGGUAAGGCGGCUGACUCCCGAAGAACUGCAAGAAAUGCAAUUGAAACUUGAGAAAAACAAGAUUGAGCGAAUGUGGUGUUCGUAUAUGACACCAGUGAUUAGGAAAUAAAUCUGAGAUGUACACCUUACUUGAUUUUACGAAACAUGACAAAUAAAAAUUUACAAACUUUCCUAUAGA